GGUACCAUGGUUUAGUUGGUUAAAGUGCCUGUCUAAUAAACAGGAAGUCCUUGGUUCACGUCCCUCUGAUACUU
Non-coding RNA from Alligator sinensis (Chinese alligator), 74 nucleotides. The record is from Rfam. Lineage: Eukaryota; Metazoa; Chordata; Crocodylia; Alligatoridae.